AGAAAGAACUGCAAGCUAUUUCGCAGACGUAAGCAAAGGAACAAGAAAGAUCUGGAAAGGUCUACCGUAGAAGGUGAAAGUCCUGUAUUGGUAGUUUUCUUGCGCUGUAUCUCUUCUCCCAAGUAAUGUGGAACACGAGGAAUUCUGCAUGAAUCUGCGAGGACCAAAUCUCGUAAGGCUAAAUACUCUUUCUAACCGAUAGCGCAUAGUACCGUGAGGGAAAGGUGAAAAGAACCCCGGGAGGGGAGUGAAAGAGAACCUGAAAUUGUGUGCUUACAAGCGGUCAGAGCCACUUCGGUGGUGAUGGCGUGCCUUUUGGAGAAUGAUCCUGCGAGUUACGUUUCAUGGCGAGGUUAAGAAGAACGGAGCCGAAGGGAAACCGAGUCUGAAUAGGGCGCAAGAGUCGUGGAGCGUAGACGCGAAACCCGGUGAUCUAAGCCUGUCCAGGAUGAAGCUGUGGUAAGACACAGUGGAGGUCCUAACCCACCGCCGUUGAAAAGUUGGGGGAUGAGGUAGGUUUAGGGGUGAAAAGCCAAUCGAACCGGGAGAUAGCUCGUUCUCUCCGAAAUGCAUCUAGGUGCAGCCUUGCGUGUUUAAUGAUGGGGGUAGAGCACUGACUGAACUAGGGGGCAUAUAGCUUACUGAAUUCAAUCAAACUCCGAAUACCAUUAUUCAAGAGCGCAGGAGUGAGACCAUGGGAGUUAACUUCCAUCGUCGAAAGGGAAACAACCCAGACCACCGGCUAAGGUCCCAAAUCAUAUCUAAGUGGGAAAGGAGGUGGAGAUUCUUAAACAACUAGGAGGUUGGCUUAGAAGCAGCCAUUCCUUGAAAGAGUGCGUAAUAGCUCACUAGUCGAGAGUCUCUGCGCCGACAAUGUAACGGGGCUAAGAUAUGAACCGAAGCUGUGGAUGUCGUAAGACAUGGUAGGAGAGCGUUCUGUAGGCCGU
This 947-nucleotide ribosomal RNA is filed under the name Fusobacterium necrophorum. RNAcentral's name for it is "partial 23S ribosomal RNA". It matches the Rfam family "Bacterial large subunit ribosomal RNA", at positions 308 to 1251 of the family's 2925-position model. Lineage: Bacteria; Fusobacteriati; Fusobacteriota; Fusobacteriia; Fusobacteriales; Fusobacteriaceae. The record is from RNAcentral.